Pelobates cultripes (western spadefoot toad) is the source of this 206-nucleotide non-coding RNA. NCBI's taxonomy places the organism in Eukaryota, Metazoa, Chordata, Amphibia, Anura, Pelobatidae. The record is from the annotation of a GenBank genome assembly.
UCCUCCUCCGUUCCUCCUCCUGGGCUGAAUGCGCACGCGCGGCGAGAGCUGCGCGCGCCUUCAGCCCGUCGCAUAGGAAAGCAUUUACAAUGCUUUCAUAUGGACGCUUGCGUGCUCUCACUGUGAUUUUCACAGUGAGAAGCACGCAAGCGCCUCUAGUGGCUGUCAAUGAGACAGCCACUAGAGGAUUAGGGGGAAGGCUUAAC